GACGAACGCUGGCGGCGUGCUUAACACAUGCAAGUCGAACGGAAAGACCCUGCUUUUGUGGGGUGCUCGAGUGGCGAACGGGUGAGUAACACGUGAGUAACCUGCCCUUGACUUUGGGAUAACUUCAGGAAACUGGGGCUAAUACCGGAUAGGAGCUCCUGCUGCAUGGUGGGGGUUGGAAAGUUUCGGCGGUUGGGGAUGGACUCGCGGCUUAUCAGCUUGUUGGUGGGGUAGUGGCUUACCAAGGCUUUGACGGGUAGCCGGCCUGAGAGGGUGACCGGGCCAAAUGGGGAUGGGGAACCGCCCCAGACUCUUCCGGGGGGAAGAAGUGGGGAAUAUUGCCCAAGGGGCGAAAGCCUAAGGCAGAACCGCCGGGGGGGGGAGGACGGCUUUCGGGUGGUAACCCGUUUCCGCUGGGAAGGAGCCUGGGGUGACGGUAAUGGUAAAGAAGCACCGGCUAACUACGUG
Molecule: ribosomal RNA, 468 nt
Filed under: uncultured bacterium
Lineage: Bacteria
Description: partial 16S ribosomal RNA
Rfam family: Bacterial small subunit ribosomal RNA
Source: RNAcentral